UACGGAAGGUGCAAGCGUUAAUCGGAAUUACUGGGCGUAAAGCGUGCGCAGGCGGCUCCUUAAGUCAGAUGUGAAAGCCCCGGGCUUAACCUGGGAACUGCGUUUGAAACUGGGGAGCUAGAGUGUAGAAGAGGGGGGUGGAAUUCCAGGUGUAGCAGUGAAAUGCGUAGAGAUCUGGAGGAACACCGAUGGCGAAGGCAGCCCCCUGGGCUAACACUGACGCUCAUGCACGAAAGCGUGGGGAGCAAACAGG
RNAcentral lists this ribosomal RNA (253 nucleotides) under uncultured bacterium. RNAcentral describes it as "partial 16S ribosomal RNA". It matches the Rfam family "Bacterial small subunit ribosomal RNA", at positions 524 to 776 of the family's 1533-position model. The record is from RNAcentral.